RNAcentral lists this ribosomal RNA (223 nucleotides) under uncultured bacterium. RNAcentral describes it as "partial 16S ribosomal RNA". It matches the Rfam family "Bacterial small subunit ribosomal RNA", at positions 328 to 539 of the family's 1533-position model. The record is from RNAcentral.
ACGCUCGACACCUACGGGAGUCAGCAGUAGGGAAUCUUCCACAAUGGACGCAAGUCUGAUGGAGCAACGCCGCGUGAGUGAAGAAGGUCUUCGGAUCGUAAAACUCUGUUGUUAGAGAAGAACACGAGUGAGAGUAACUGUUCAUUCGAUGACGGUAUCUAACCAGCAAGUCACGGCUAACUACGUGCAAGCAGCCGCGGUAAUCUGAGCGGGCUGGCAAGGC